CAUGCAGUCGAACGAUGAAGCCUUUCGUGGGUGGAUUAUUGGCAAAGGGGUGAGUAACACGUGGGCAAUCUGCCCUUCACUCUGGGACAAGCCCUGGAAACGGGGUCUAAUACCGGAUAACACUCUGUCCUGCAUGGGACGGGGUUAAAAGCUCCGGCGGUGAAGGAUGAGCCCGCGGCCUAUCAACUUGUUGGUGGGGUAAUGGCCUACCAAGGCGACGACGGGUAGCCGGCCUGAGAGGGCGACCGGCCACACUGGGACUGAGACACGGCCCAGACUCCUACGGGAGGCAGCAGUGGGGAAUAUUGCACAAUGGGCGAAAGCCUGAUGCAUCGACGCCGCGUGAGGGAUGACGGCCUUCGGGUUGUAAACCUCUUUCAUCAGGGAAGAAGCGAAAGUGACGGUACCUGCAGAAGAAGCGCCGGCUAACUACGUGCCAGCAGCCGCGGUAAUACGUAUGGCGCAAGCGUUGUCCGGAAUUAUUGGGCGUAAAGAGCUCGUAGGCGGCUUGUCACGUCGGAUGUGAAAGCCCGGGGCUUAACCCCGGGUCUGCAUUCGAUACGGGCUAGCUAGAGUGUGGUAGGGGAGAUCGGAAUUCCUGGUGUAGCGGUGAAAUGCGCACAUAUCAGGAGGAACACCGGUGGCGAAGGCGGAUCUCUGGGCCAUUACUGACGCUGAGGAGCGAAAGCGUGGGGAGCGAA
Molecule: ribosomal RNA, 701 nt
Filed under: Streptomyces sp.
Lineage: Bacteria; Bacillati; Actinomycetota; Actinomycetes; Kitasatosporales; Streptomycetaceae
Description: bacterial SSU rRNA
Rfam family: Bacterial small subunit ribosomal RNA
Source: RNAcentral